CACCCGGUCAGGCCCCCGACGUUGGGCAUA
Molecule: small RNA, 30 nt
Filed under: Bombyx mori (domestic silkworm)
Lineage: Eukaryota; Metazoa; Arthropoda; Insecta; Lepidoptera; Bombycidae
Description: ovarian small RNA-12945
Source: RNAcentral